UGGAUAUUAGUUAAUUUAUAACAUUUAAUUUGCAAUUAAAAAUUAUAUUUACUUCAGUCUUACAAUAUAUAUCUUA
Molecule: transfer RNA, 76 nt
Filed under: Pheidole flavigaster
Lineage: Eukaryota; Metazoa; Arthropoda; Insecta; Hymenoptera; Formicidae
Description: tRNA-Ala
Source: RNAcentral